Long non-coding RNA from Parus major (Great Tit), 941 nucleotides. RefSeq lists it as uncharacterized. The transcript has 4 exons. NCBI's taxonomy places the organism in Eukaryota, Metazoa, Chordata, Aves, Passeriformes, Paridae. The record is from RefSeq and is a predicted model, not a curated record.
UACUUAGCAAGCCAUGAUGCUCCAGAGUGUGAAUACCUGUCAAUUACACAGCAUUAGUCAGCCCCUCAAUGAGCGCACUGUGGAUGAUGAAAGCAGACAGGGAAGAAUGUGGGACAGGGUUGCCUCCAUUCAUAGACAUUACUCUUUGAAGCAUGAAGCAGCAUUUGAAAGAGCGGUGCUGCUGUCCCUACUCAUGCAGUGACUUACAAGGUCCAUCACAUCAUGCUGAAACAGCUAAAUCAAGAAACCCAGCAGAGCUUCUAAGAACAUUUGAGCUACACUCAGGGGCUCUACCAACACAGCUGUGAUCUGAACAUUUGUGUAGUACACUGCAUGUGGGAUGUCAAGAAGGCAAAUAACACAGCCCCUGCCUGAACUGGAGGGACUUGCACCCACAUUGUCCCGCUCAGGGAUAAGAAAAUUGAAUCUAAACCUCCAGCUGUCUACGAUUGCACAGAAGGAGUCACAAAACUGAAGGACAAAACUCUGACUAAUUGAAAAUUCCGACUAUCAUCGUUUUUCUUGACUCAAGAACUGAAAAAAGGAUUCAUGCCUUUUAGUGUCAAAAAGGUUGGAAUCUGCCUGUAGCCCUCAGAAGAUAAGAAUAGCACACUGAAGCAUGGUACACAUUUCUCUCUAGAGCUGAUUUUCUUGUUUGCAUCUCUUCUUUUCAUUCUAUCUUGACCCUUUAUGUUGUUCCUCUGAUGUCCAUGACACUGUUCUUAGAGCUCUUUUAUGGAUUUAGAGAGAAUGGAAAAGCCUGAAGCAACUUGUUGGCAGUAGGCAUAAGUGAUGGAUUUGAAAAGCAGAAAGGUUAGAAAACUAAAUGGUAUAUAUAACUAAAACUUAUGAGCAGUAGAGGGUUGCUUGCCCUCUGCCCUUGCAAGUGGGAUGGAGGUGACUGUAAAAGCAAAACAAUAUAAAUUAAAGGUUAAAUUGUA